CCAUUCCUCGAAGGUCCCCUGGUGAAUCGCUUUGUUCACUUUCAUGGUCAGAAGGUCCAGUAGUUAACAUUGCGGUUUUCUAGUGUUCUUCCGAUUUUUCUGGU
RNAcentral lists this microRNA precursor (104 nucleotides) under Haemonchus contortus (barber pole worm). RNAcentral's name for it is "microRNA hco-mir-5929 precursor". Lineage: Eukaryota; Metazoa; Nematoda; Chromadorea; Rhabditida; Trichostrongylidae. The record is from miRBase by way of RNAcentral.